This 199-nucleotide long non-coding RNA is filed under the name Elaeis guineensis (African oil palm). RNAcentral describes it as "long non-coding RNA (EGUI_LNC030855)". Lineage: Eukaryota; Viridiplantae; Streptophyta; Magnoliopsida; Arecales; Arecaceae. The record is from RNAcentral.
GGGUCGGAUUGAAUAUAAGCAGAUCGGAUCAGAUACUAAUCGAGUUAAAAAACUCUGAAUCGGAACCCAAUCUGUUUAUUUAAAUAGGUUAGAUUUUAAAAUCCAAACCUGACCUACUUAAUAAACAGAUUACUCGAUCUGACUUGCUUACUACCCGUUUAUAACCCAUUAAAAAAAAAUCCAAACCAUUUAUGAUUUG